CUGACCCUGAGCCACCAGAACACACUGGCUGAAAGGACCCGACAACCUCUAUGGCAAGUGAGAGCCUUGGUCCUUCCCCAGAGCGACUGCAGCCAGUUAGGACGCGAGCACUCAUUUCUUUUCAGGAUGGUUGGUUCCUACUGUGGCGUCCAAAUUGAUGCGGAUACCCAGGGACCCAUAGCACCACCAUGGCCCCCGUGUUAGAGUAGGGAUCUAUGGGGGUCAUGUCAUCCACAGAGCCCUGCCCAAGACACAGCGGGGUCAGAACAGCAGUCUGGGCUGCAGCGACACAUCCGAGGAUCACUGGCAUGUUACUGUAUUUAAAGCCAUGAGAUUGGAUUGGAGCAGCAGCAGGUAGAUAGAGAAGAGACCCAGCUGGUCUCAGACCCUGCGGAGCUGCCAUCAUCUGCAUCUGUGCCCUGACUCUUCAGCCUCUCUCCCUGGCCUUCUGGAGACAGACCUCUGACCGGUGGGCUCCAUGUGAUUCUGGGCUCCAGGACCUCUCCCAUGAAGAUGACCAGCACUUGCUGAGUGCGGUGUGCCAAGUCUUGUGCAACACGUCUCACACAGCGUAACGGGCAGUGUGGCAAAGUGGGUAAGGUAAGGGUUCAAAUCCUGGUUCUGCCACUUUUUACUUGCACGGGCUCGGGCAAGCUGACCACCCUGUGGCUCAGCCUCCACAUCAUUCACCUCGAGCUGAUGGUACCCGCUGCACGGGCUGCUGUACUGCUUGUGAGUUCAUCCACAUGAAGAGCUCAGAACAGUGCCUGGCGUGGCAAGACUAUACAAGGACUAACUCUGAUGGUGGGAGCCAGGAGGUUUCCUUGUGGUCCUUGCCUGGCAGCAUCUUCCUCACCUGGGAAUGGACUAAUGCUUAGCCCACUCCAGGCUACUGACUCUGAAACUCUGUGUGUGGGGCCCAGGGAUCUGCAUUUUAACAAGCUCUCCAUUGAGGCCAAUGGACGUGAAAGCUUAGUCUUUCUAACACCUCUAUAAGAAGGUCUAUUUUGUUCUCAUUAUUACUAUUAUAUGGAUAAGGAGGUGGGCUCAGAGGGGUUGUCAUGCCUAAGCUUAUGCUGGUACUAAGUGCCAGGAUGCAAAGUGGGUCAGUCCACUCCACACCACUGUGCCUGGCCCAGCCCUUCCCGCCAGCUCGACGCACUUCCCUUUCCCACUGGCUUCAUUUCCUACCUGGCCAAGCCUGUCGGGGGCAAGCAUGCCUCUCGGUCCACAAACUUAGGGAGGCAGGGAAUAAGCACAGGGUGAUGAAAACUCAAUCCCCAUCCAUUCAAGGGGUUAGAGACCUGAUCCCCUUCCCUAGAUUGCACCAGAACUGUUGAGGACUUACACAGUGCUAAGGCACCAGGGUGGGGGGCCCACCUGGUCCUCAUGCCACCCAUCAGUGCUGGCAUCCACUAGCCUUCCAAGAGAGCCCUAGAUCUUCAUCCCUACAGGCAGAGGCUGGGACAGUGGACCACUUUGGAUAGUUAACCAGCUUGUUCACUGCACAAACAUAUCCGGAUGGGGUGAUCAGUGGGACUGAAAUCCCACCUGUGCUGUCCUUGCUGAGCUAUGGAAGUGGGUGCAGGACAGCCUCCACCCUGAGGCAGGGCAUCUCUUCCUUAGCACCAAGGAACCAUCCACGGACCAGGUCAUGCACCCAGUGGGCUCAUCCAUCUUCCCACAAAGGGUGCCUUUUCCCAAUUUGCACAAAGGAACCUUAGAGACGGAUGUGGCCCUGCUGGUGUGGCCCCAUGCUGGUGGAGUGGCUCCCACAGGUCUGCGGUCCUCUGCCACUUCCAGGUGGUGCUCAGGCCCCUGGCCUCACUCAGGCUGGGGGAGAUGGGGUGCAGGGCGAGGGCAUGGAGGAAGGCUAUCCUGGGCCAUGCUGUGGCCCUUCCGCUCAGGCCCACAACUUCCCCAAGGCUACCUCUGGGAAGUAGGGCACAAGGGGCCCGUGGGAUCGUUGCUUGGAUCCCACAACAUAACUGGGGUUUUGCUGUCUCCUGGGGCUCUGCCCAGGAAGGGGUGCAAAUCUCCCUUCACUAUGACCCAGGGCUGUGCUUCCAUUCCACUCCAUCACCCCUCCUUCAAUAUUUUCUUGCCUCUGCGGAAACCCAACGCUACUCAGCCUUCCUUCAGGAUUUUCUCCCCAACUUUUUUCCAGCUAGAAGUCUUCCCCGAGUUCCUAAAAUCUUGGAUUUUGGAGACCAGUCAGGCCUUUUCUUUUCGUCUAGGGCAUAGGCUUCCCUUCAGGCAGUGAGCAGAAGGAAUGAGCUGGGGUAGGGGGAGAGGGAAGAGCAGAUCUAUUAAUCGCCCCACCCCACAAUAACUGCACAUGCCUGGGAGCCCCGUGGAGCGCAGGCCACACCGUGCCAGGUCCUCCGAGUCGGGAAAGACUCGCUAUUCCCGCUUCCCCAGCCCGGAGCAGGGGCUAAUGGAAAAGGCUGCAGCCCCCGGCGCGCGCAGCCUCCUGCUUCUUGGACUUUGGUGAAAUUGUGGCUGCGGGCCCGCGCUGCUUCCGAUCCACGGCGCCGCUCAAGCGAAGGCUCAGGGGGUCCCCCGCCCGAGGCGGCCCCAGAGCCGCCCCUCUGGUCUCCAUCCCGGAGCAGCGCCCUUCCACCCUCCUUGGGCGGCGCUGCCCCAGCGGCCGGGUGUUUUCACCGCCGACCGCGAGCUUCCUACCGUUCAUCCAUCCGCCGCAGGAAGGGGGCGCACGCGUCACUCGCUUCUCUCCAAUCCGGCUACAUCCCGGAGUUCGGUUUUCACUGGAAACGACACCACCGGGGGUUGAUGGUCCCUAAGGUGUUCAGCCUGCGAAAGAGGGCUGUGGUUAAAAAGAUAAAAAUACACUAGUGCCUUACCGGGUCCUGAGCAAUUUGUUUUGUAUUAGGUCAAUUCUAGAAAAAAAAAUUUACAGGUCAUUUUUUUUCAUUCAAAGUAAAAACUGUUUUACUGAAUCCCAUGAUCUAUCUAUCCAGAUAUCACCUGUGUAAUCUAAGCUGGAAGACUAUAUAUAUAUAUUCUAUUGAAUAGAAAAAUGUCAAUAAGAAGUGAAGAUUGCAGGACUUUUAUUUUUGCCAUUAAGCUAUUAAUAGAAAUGCAUAGUUGUUAAUAUGUUAGCAAUGUGGCUUUCAAAUUUUUAUUGCAAAAAAUAAUAAAGUAUACACUGCUCCUUAUCAUAAAUUCCAAAUAGCAA
RNAcentral lists this long non-coding RNA (3199 nucleotides) under Homo sapiens (human). RNAcentral's name for it is "long non-coding RNA NONHSAT050830.2". Lineage: Eukaryota; Metazoa; Chordata; Mammalia; Primates; Hominidae. The record is from RNAcentral.